GUAGGCGGUUUGAUAAGUCAGAUGUGAAAGCCCACGGCUUAACCGUGGAAGUGCAUUUGAUACUGUUAGACUUGAGUACCAGAGGGGAAAGUGGAAUUCCCGGUGUAGAGGUGAAAUUCGUAGAUAUCGGGAGGAAUACCGGUGGCGAAGGCGACUUUCUGGCUGGAUACUGACGCUGAGGCGCGAAAGCGUGGGGAGCAAACAGGAUUAGAUACCCUGGUAGUCCACGCUGUAAACGAUGUCAACUAGAUGUAGGGGGUGUUGAUCCCUUCUGUGUCGCAGCUAACGCAUUAAGUUGACCGCCUGGGGAGUACGGUCGCAAGAUUAAAACUCAAAGGAAUUGACGG
RNAcentral lists this ribosomal RNA (347 nucleotides) under uncultured bacterium. RNAcentral's name for it is "bacterial SSU rRNA". It matches the Rfam family "Bacterial small subunit ribosomal RNA", at positions 571 to 916 of the family's 1533-position model. The record is from RNAcentral.